This 233-nucleotide ribosomal RNA is filed under the name uncultured bacterium. RNAcentral's name for it is "partial 16S ribosomal RNA". It matches the Rfam family "Bacterial small subunit ribosomal RNA", at positions 14 to 237 of the family's 1533-position model. The record is from RNAcentral.
GUAUCAUGGCUCAGGAUGAACGCUAGCUACAGGCUUAACACAUGCAAGUCGAGGGGCAGCAUGGUCUUAGCUUGCUAAGGCCGAUGGCGACCGGCGCACGGGUGAGUAACGCGUAUCCAACCUGCCUUACACGUCUUGGACAGCCUUCUGAAAGGGAGAUUAAUACAAGAUGUUAUCAUGAGUAAGCAUUUUCACAUGAUUAAAGGUUUACCGGUGUAAGAUGGGGAUGCGUU